UAUAAAAUUAAUAAAACAUAAGGGUGUAUCAAUGAUUUUUUUUAGCAGCCUAAUCUAGCCUAUAAUUAUCGAUUUGAUACAAAUUCUUUAUUGAUCUUGUGAACGCUAAAAAAUUAUAACAAAAGAAGAUUAGGAAGAAGAUUGUAAGAUGUAUUUUAUUUUGUUUUUGAUUUGAUGUGGUCGAUGAAGUAAUUGAUACAAAUUAUGGUUAGGAUCAAUGUCGUUGGGGGAUUUUUUUUUUUUUUUAAGCAAAGAGGUUGUUGGCUUUGUCUGGUUUUGAUAUUUUAUUUUAUUAUUUUUGGUACCAAGUUAAAAAUGCCCUUGAAUUUAGGGUAAAACUGUCAUUUACUUGGAUUUUGUUACAUAUUAUAAUGAUGCGUUUACUAAAUUGGAAUCAGAAUGGGUUGGAAUCGGAAUGGGCAGGAAUGUGAAUGGGCUAGAAUGGGAAUAAAGAAUGAGAAUCAAAAUAAAUUGUUUACUUGAAAUGUAGGAAUCGAAAUCGGAAUGAGCUGGAUUGCCAUUAAUGUGUUUACUUUGUCUUGGAAUCGGAAUCGGAAUGAGUUAAAUUGUAACAAAUUACUAAAAAGUACUUAAUAAUUAUUGUCAUAAUUAUUAUUAACUAAUAUAUUAAUUAAUU
This 637-nucleotide long non-coding RNA is filed under the name Citrus x clementina. RNAcentral describes it as "Citrus clementina (C. clementina) long non-coding RNA (CCLE_LNC000956)". Lineage: Eukaryota; Viridiplantae; Streptophyta; Magnoliopsida; Sapindales; Rutaceae. The record is from RNAcentral.